RNAcentral lists this small nucleolar RNA (270 nucleotides) under Saitoella complicata NRRL Y-17804. RNAcentral's name for it is "Fungal small nucleolar RNA U3". It matches the Rfam family "Fungal small nucleolar RNA U3". Rfam says of the family: Small nucleolar RNAs (snoRNAs) are involved in the processing and modification of rRNA in the nucleolus. There are two main classes of snoRNAs: the box C/D class, and the box H/ACA class. Lineage: Eukaryota; Fungi; Ascomycota; Saitoellomycetes; Saitoellales; Saitoellaceae. The record is from Rfam by way of RNAcentral.
ACGAACAUACUUCAUAGGAUCAUUUCUAUAGUAUCUGUUCUGGCAUUGGUUUUCUAAACCUGCCAUCGAGUUACACUCGGUUGAUGAGCUUUGGCUCUUUCGUGCGAUUAAGAGCGAGGAUCCUCCCUUGUUUCGAUGCUGUUUGAGCUUGUCGGCUUUUCCUCUUGGAUUGGUCAGUGGGUUAGGCGUCGAGACACGAUGAACUCUGGCCCGGCUGUGCUUUGUCUUCGGACGGCAUGCUGGGUUGCACGGAAGAGCGCUCUGACGGGC